CGCGGGGUGGGGCAGCACGGUAGCUCGUCGGGCUCUGCAUAACCCGAAGGUCGUCGGUUCAAAUCCGGCCCCCGCAACCA
This 80-nucleotide transfer RNA is filed under the name Salmonella enterica subsp. enterica serovar Weltevreden. Its description in RNAcentral is "tRNA-OTHER". It matches the Rfam family "tRNA". From Rfam's summary of the family: Transfer RNA (tRNA) molecules are approximately 80 nucleotides in length. Their secondary structure includes four short double-helical elements and three loops (D, anti-codon, and T loops). The record is from RNAcentral. Lineage: Bacteria; Pseudomonadati; Pseudomonadota; Gammaproteobacteria; Enterobacterales; Enterobacteriaceae.